Long non-coding RNA from Nycticebus coucang (slow loris), 403 nucleotides. RefSeq lists it as uncharacterized. The record is from RefSeq and is a predicted model, not a curated record. Lineage: Eukaryota; Metazoa; Chordata; Mammalia; Primates; Lorisidae. The transcript has 3 exons.
CUUUGGGCCACCUGGCCUCCCAGCAGGGCCUGGCACUAUGGUGUUCCUACUUGUUCCUGAGACUCCCACUCUCAAGAACCAGAGAAAUUUCUCCUUUGGGAGCCUUUGAAAAGCAAGUUUUGGCCAGGGCCAGGCUCGAACCCACCACCCCUGGUAUAUGAGGCCAGCACCCUACUCCUUGAGCCACAGGUGCCGCCCAUGAAAAGAAUUUUAUGAACAGAAUGCACAACGCUAAUCUCAUAAAAACUUUAAAGCUCAAAGCUCAUAACUUUCAGAGAUUGAGCACACUUUACAGCCCAGUUAGAGCAAUUAAUGUAAGGAGGAGCCAGGCCUGACUGAGGUUCCAGCAAGAGCAUCUGCAAAGAAAGACAAGGACGGCCGAGGCCAUCGUCUAAGGACAGAC